UACUUGUGACAAUAACUCACCAAUAAAAGACCAGGAAAUGCAAAGGGAGAUAAAAAUAGAAAAGGAUACAUUUCAACACACACAAGAGCACAACUCGUAUGAUUUCAUACAGAUAUGAUCCAACAGCAAGCGAGGGCCAAAUCUGUGUUCACACACACUCAUGCUUGCCGUCCUCAAAUAGAAGCGUGGAAAGUCAAUUGCGCAAGUAAUGGCUCGAACUGCUCUGACAAAUCAAAGGCGCGGUCACGAUGCCAACAAUCGCUGGCAAGCGUCACGCGUCACGAGCGCCGCAACGGACAGCGACGCUCAUGACAUUUCCUCAAACAGAUUUUCAAGUCACUUUGGAUUCGUUGCGAGACUUUCCCCGAAAUGCGAACAAACGAAAAGCACGAAGCGAACGUGUCUGCGGUCUGCGACCCGCAUCGCAAGAAAAGGAGACAUGACGCGGCGACCUCUGACGGCGUCUUUGUUAAGACGUCAGAAAAUGCAACGACGACGACAAAAACAGCAGACUCCUUGGAGGAGAUAAUGAAAGAGCGAGAGAGCGUCUCCGUGGGCAGAGAGUUCUUAAUAGGAUUUACGUGUAAAUAUGUGCCAUCUGCUGUGCAGAAACGCGUCAACGGAUCGCUGUUGCGAGGAUGGAUUACAAACUGGUUAGUAAAAUAACAAGAUGCAUGCCAACCCCCCCCCACCCCACC
This is a long non-coding RNA of Syngnathoides biaculeatus (alligator pipefish), 698 nucleotides long. RefSeq lists it as uncharacterized. The record is from RefSeq and is a predicted model, not a curated record. NCBI's taxonomy places the organism in Eukaryota, Metazoa, Chordata, Actinopteri, Syngnathiformes, Syngnathidae. The transcript has 3 exons.